AGUGAACGCUGGCGGUAGGCCUAACACAUGCAAGUCGAACGGCAGCACAGUAAGAGUUUGCUCUUACGGGUGGCGAGUGGCGGACGGGUGAGGAAUACAUCGGAAACUACUUUUUCGUGGGGGAUAACGUAGGGAAACUUACGCUAAUACCGCAUACGACCUACGGGUGAAAGCAGGGGAUCUACGGACCUUGCGUGAUUGAAUGAGCUGAUGUCGGAUUAGCUAGUUGGCGGGGUAAAGGCCCACCAAGGCGACGAUCCGUAGCUGGUCUGAGAGGAUGAUCAGCCACACUGGAACUGAGACACGGUCCAGACUCCUACGGGAGGCAGCAGUGGGGAAUAUUGGACAAUGGGCGCAAGCCUGAUCCAGCCAUACCGCGUGGGUGAAGAAGGCCUUCGGGUUGUAAAGCCCUUUUGUUGGGAAAGAAAAGCAGCAGGUUAAUACCCCGCUGUUCUGACGGUACCCAAAGAAUAAGCACCGGCUAACUUCGUG
Molecule: ribosomal RNA, 492 nt
Filed under: uncultured bacterium
Lineage: Bacteria
Description: partial 16S ribosomal RNA
Rfam family: Bacterial small subunit ribosomal RNA
Source: RNAcentral